ACGCUGGCGGCAGGCCUAAUACAUGCAAGUCGAACGGUAACAUAAGAAAGCUUGCUUUCUUGAUGACGAGUGGCGGACGGGUGAGUAAUAUUUGGGAAGCUACCUGAUAGAGGGGGACAACAGUUGGAAACGACUGCUAAUACCGCAUAUAGCCUAAGGGUGAAAGCAGCGAUGCGCUAUCAGAUGCGCCCAAACGGGAUUAGCUAGUAGGUGAGGUAAAGGCUCACCUAGGCGACGAUCUCUAGCUGGUCUGAGAGGAUGAUCAGCCACAUUGGGACUGAGACACGGCCCAGACUCCUACGGGAGGCAGCAGUAGGGAAUAUUGCACAAUGGAGGAAACUCUGAUGCAGCCAUGCCGCGUGUGUGAAGAAGGCCUUCGGGUUGUAAAGCACUUUCGGAGGGGAGGAACAAAUGACGUUACCCUCAGAAGAAGCACCGGCUAACUCCGUG
Molecule: ribosomal RNA, 450 nt
Filed under: uncultured bacterium
Lineage: Bacteria
Description: bacterial SSU rRNA
Rfam family: Bacterial small subunit ribosomal RNA
Source: RNAcentral